RNAcentral lists this ribosomal RNA (616 nucleotides) under uncultured Legionella sp. Its description in RNAcentral is "bacterial SSU rRNA". It matches the Rfam family "Bacterial small subunit ribosomal RNA", at positions 242 to 849 of the family's 1533-position model. Lineage: Bacteria; Pseudomonadati; Pseudomonadota; Gammaproteobacteria; Legionellales; Legionellaceae. The record is from RNAcentral.
UAGCUAGUUGGUGGGGUAAGGGCCUACCAAGGCGACGAUCGGUAGCUGGUCUGAGAGGAUGGCCAGCCACACUGGAACUGAGACACGGUCCAGACUCCUACGGGAGGCAGCAGUGGGGAAUAUUGGACAAUGGGGGCAACCCUGAUCCAGCGAUGCCGCGUGUGUGAAGAAGGCCUGAGGGUUGUAAAGCACUUUCAGUGGGGAGGAGGGUUGAUAGGUUAAGAGCUAAUUAACUGGACGUUACCCACAGAAGAAGCACCGGCUAACUCCGUGCCAGCAGCCGCGGUAAUACGGAGGGUGCGAGCGUUAAUCGGAAUUACUGGGUGUAAAGGGUGCGUAGGUGGUUGAUUAAGUUAUCUGUGAAAUUCCUGGGCUUAACCUGGGACGGUCAGAUAAUACUGGUUGACUCGAGUAUGGGAGAGGGUAGUGGAAUUUCCGGUGUAGCGGUGAAAUGCGUAGAGAUCGGAAGGAACACCAGUGGCGAAGGCGGCUACCUGGCCUAAUACUGACACUGAGGCACGAAAGCGUGGGGAGCAAACAGGAUUAGAUACCCUGGUAGUCCACGCUGUAAACGAUGUCAACUAGCUGUUGGUUAUAUGAAAAUAAUUAGUGGCGC